GAUGAAGAACGUAGCGAAAUGCGAUAAGUAAUGUGAAUUGCAGAAUUCAGUGAAUCAUCGAAUCUUUGAACGCACAUUGCGCCCGCUAGUAUUCUGGCGGGCAUGCCUGUCCGAGCGUCAUUUCAACCCUCAGGGCCCCUUCGGGGGACCUGGCGUUGGGGAUCGGCCCGCCCCCGUGCGGCGCCGUCCCCGAAAUAUAGUGGCGGUCUCGCUGCAGCCUCCCCUGCGUAGUAGCACACCUCGCACUGGAGAGCGGCGCGGCCACGCCGUGAAACCCCCAACUUCUGAAUGUUGACCUCGGAUCAGGUAGGAAUACCCGCUGAACUUAAGCAUAUCAAUAAGCGGAGGA
This 349-nucleotide unclassified non-coding RNA is filed under the name soil metagenome. RNAcentral describes it as "partial contains 5.8S ribosomal RNA, internal transcribed spacer 2, and large subunit ribosomal RNA". The stretch from base 1 to 120 matches the Rfam family "5.8S ribosomal RNA", at positions 35 to 154 of the family's 154-position model. The record is from RNAcentral.